CACCUAACCUUUCCUUCCACCCAAUCCAAAACCAAGCCAAACAUCCCUACUCAUUCUCUCUCAUUUCAUUUCGCCUCUCAUCUGCCUUCACUUCACUCAGUCUCAGACUCUCCCUCUCUUUCUCGGAUUUGAAGCUUAGCAGCCACCCACCGUCUAGCAAUCUGACUCCGACGAACUAUCUCCACUCCGGCCACCACCACACCUCAUGGCUUCAUCCCCACCUCCGGUUCUCUCCAGUGAUUCUCUGUGUGUGUGGGAUUUCGAAUUGAGGUUAGGGUUUUGAAUUGGGGCUUAGGGUUUCGAAUUGGGGGCUCGGGUCAGGAGGAGGUUCGGAUGAUUUCAAUAUUAAUCUAAGACGAUUUGGAUUCUGAUGAUGUUCGGUUUCGGGAAAUUCCGAAAUACCGAAAAUAUUUCGGGAAUCCCGAAAUUUGGGAAUCCCGAAAUUUCGGUUCGGGAUCGGUCAUGAGAUUUACGUCCCGAAAAUUUUCGGUUCGGGAUUUGAUAUGCCAUUUUUGGUUCGGUAUCCCAUACCGAACCAGCCCUAUGUUUCACCCUCAAGAAAUAUCAACAUAAAGUUUUACGUUAGUCUUCAGAACCGAGUCAUCUAGAUAUAGGUCUUAUCAAACCAAGUCAAUCAAAUGAUACAAAACUUUUAAUUGCUAAAAAAAGACUCCACGCUCAGCUUACACGCACAGAAGAGACGUUGAUGGAAAAUGCGCACCCAUCAAUGUGUUCGAUUUUGUAAUUAUAGUCAUGUACAAGUUAGAAAGUCUUAUUUUAUGAUAUAAAAAGUCCUUAUUUAUCUUA
This is a long non-coding RNA of Malus domestica (apple), 807 nucleotides long. RefSeq lists it as uncharacterized. The record is from RefSeq and is a predicted model, not a curated record. Lineage: Eukaryota; Viridiplantae; Streptophyta; Magnoliopsida; Rosales; Rosaceae.